AGUGAACGCUGGCGGUAGGCCUAACACAUGCAAGUCGAACGGCAGCACAGUAAGAGCUUGCUCUUACGGGUGGCGAGUGGCGGACGGGUGAGGAAUACAUCGGAAUCUACUUUUUCGUGGGGGAUAACGUAGGGAAACUUACGCUAAUACCGCAUACGACCUACGGGUGAAAGCAGGGGAUCUUCUGACCUUGCGCGAUUGAAUGAGCCGCUGUCGGAUUAGCUAGUUGGCGGGGUAAAGACCCACCAAGGCGACGAUCCGUAGCUGGUCUGAGAGGAUGAUCAGCCACACUAGAACUGAGACACGGUCCAGACUCCUACGGGAGGCAGCAGUGGGGAAUAUUGGACAAUGGGCGCAAGCCUGAUCCAGCCAUACCGCGUGGGUGAAGAAGGCCUUCGGGUUGUAAAGCCCUUUUGUUGGGAAAGAAAAGCAGCAGGUUAAUACCCCGCUGUUCUGACGGUACCCAAAGAAUAAGCACCGGCUAACUUCGUG
Molecule: ribosomal RNA, 492 nt
Filed under: uncultured bacterium
Lineage: Bacteria
Description: partial 16S ribosomal RNA
Rfam family: Bacterial small subunit ribosomal RNA
Source: RNAcentral